RNAcentral lists this long non-coding RNA (6685 nucleotides) under Malus domestica (apple). Its description in RNAcentral is "long non-coding RNA (MDOM_LNC011157)". Lineage: Eukaryota; Viridiplantae; Streptophyta; Magnoliopsida; Rosales; Rosaceae. The record is from RNAcentral.
GUCUAUUGCCAUGACUAUUCAGUUUAGGAGUGGAGAUGCAAAAGACAAUUAUUCUUCAUUAAUAGCAGUUACUAUUCACUGGAUGGGAUUAAAUUGCCUAUUGCCAUAGGGAGCCCUUACACAUUGGAAUUGCUCUAAGGGAUAGCGAGUUCCUCCUCGAUGAACUCUGGAUUUUUCGAUUCUUUGAAAAAGAAGAAGACUGAGAAAGAGAAGAGGCUAUGACUAUAAGAGUGAGACAGAGGAAUUCGCAGAGAUUGGGAAGGAGAGAAUCCAAAGAGAUCAAGGAUGUAGUUUAGUGUUACCAUUUACCAAGUCUGAAAGGGGAUAACACGACGCCGUUUCAAAAGUAAUAGGAAUAUUAAUAAAUAAUUAAUAGGUAUAUUUUAAAACGACGUUGGUUUGCAUCAUUUUGGUUUCGUUCGGCUUCUGAACCUUAAAAACUGAAGCCGAACCAACCAGAUUUGGUUAGGUUCGGUUUAACAGCUUCGUUUCGUUUUUUUUUGGACCUCGGUUUGGUUUUUGGUCUUUUUUUAUUUUUUUACCAGCCCACCCCUACCUAAAAGGGUGUAUUUCUACUAGUCGAGGGUAUGACCUUUCUAGGAUAGUAGAAUCCUUAUUAAAUCGGGACAAUGACAGAGGAUAUCUAGGAAGUAGAUAUUGCAUCAUCUUAGGAGUGUGAUUACUCGCGGCAGAUGCCAAUCCUUAGAUUGUAAGGACUCCAAGAUUAUAGGAAACCGUUGUUUCCUUUCUGGAUUAGGUGUCCAUAUCUUCAGAAUAAACAUGGUCAAUCUCAAAGAAGUCGACAGACUUCGUCCAUUGGUUCCGGAAUAGAAUAAUAGUGGCAUCAUUGCUUCAUUUAUUCAACUCUGCAUUGAAGGCUGUCGAAUCUAUAACCGGGCUUCUGAAAUGCGUAUUCCACUGACUAUAUUGCAACUUCCGAAAUGCUUGUAGAUCCACUAAAGAAGCCAUUGCCAAACAUGAUUUUUCAUAAGCAUGUUGCAGAUAUGAUAUUGGUUUUGAGUUUUGAGGCAAGAAGUAUGCGGGAGUGAAGUCGUGUUUUAAUCUCAACAUGUUUCCAAUUAAUUUUAAUUUUUCUUUUGGAUGUGGACUCGGUCAUGGUUUAAUUAUUGGAUGUGGACUCGGUUCUGAAUGUUAAAGUUUAGUUAUGUAUGGAAUUCGUUCGGUUUUUAUGCGUAAGAUUCCGUAUUUUUAGAAUUUAUUGUGGAUAUUAUUUAUUUAUGUUUGCCAAGUUUACCUGGUUCCUAUGUUUACUUUUCCAGCUAGGAUAACACGUGGUACUUGAGUGGAGUGAUAGGUUGAGGUGGCAGAAUAUAAGGGUAAGUGGCAUAAAUAUUACAUGCAAAUAGGAGCUGUGGUUGAUCAAGUGGUUAGACAAUAGCUUGAGCUGUUCAUUUGUGGGAGACAAUUAUCUAAAGUUAGAGAUAUGCCUACCAGGUGGAACUAGCCGCACUAAUCAUCCAAUCAGAGGCAUUUAGUUACCGUCCUUUUUAACUAUAAAUAGGAGCUUCGCUCCAUUGUUUUUGGAAAUGAGGCAGCAUGCAGCAUGUGAGCUCUCGUAGGAGAGAGAAAUGGAGAUAGCAUGCAUUACUUAGAGAGAUUAGUACAUAUAUAUAUAUAUAUAUAUACACACACACAUACAUACAUAUAUACAUACUUGUGUGUGUAUAUAUGUUAGAGAGAGAGAGAGAGAGAGAGAGAGAGAGAGAGAGAGAGAGAGAGAGAGAGAGAGAGAGAGAGAGAGAGAGAGAGAGAGAGAGAGAUUUAGGAAAGAAAAGAGAGUGAAAGAAAGAUAUAUAUGGUGUUAGGAGCGAUCAAGGAGCUUCUUCAAAUACGUGGAAUUUAGCUAUUUUGGUAGUGAUGUGGAUAAGUACGUGGAGCUUAGCUAUUGCAGUAGUGACGUGGAUCUUCAUUUUAGUUUUGGAAUCGAGGUAGGGGAAAUAAGGCAAACCUUUAUGGAAAUUGAUUUUAUUAAAUUUCGUGAAGUGUUAUAAUAUUCUUGAUCUUUUUGGUUGAUUAAUGUGGUUGGAUAUUAAUUGGCUAAUUGCUUCAAGUAAGUGUUUACUUGUUAUUGGUUAUGGAAUUAUUACUGGAAUGAUAUUCGUUGAGAAUAUAUUGUGAUACAUGUGAAAGAUGAAAUGACAUUAUUUGUGCAUCACUCAUGUUGUGAGAUGUGGUUCGAACUUCAAUGUUGAGAUUGGAAUUCUGGAAAUGAGGGUAGUUGGAAAGGAUCUUUUAUGUAGUUGAAUCUAUUCAUUGUGAUACCAGUUCCAGGCGAGCCUGUUGUGCAUAUUAGAAUAGGAUAUUGAUGGGAUAAAUUGUCGAUGUGGGUGAUUUGGGCUGGAGAUCAAUGAAUUAGAUAAGAUGACUAGCAAAAGGGGUUUACGAACUUGGGAUAUCAUAUAGGGGUUAGUUUUUAUAAUACAAGAUUUGAACCACCACUGCAGUGGUAAAAUGCAUGGUAUGGGACGUGCAGGUUCGCGUGUUUUAUUAUUUAAAUUAAUAGGGGUAGCCAAAGAGGUUGCACUGCAUUCAUGCAGUGUUAUCAAUAAUGAUUAGAUAUUUUGCUAUAUGAUUUCAUGGCACUUAAUUUAGUAUUAUCAAUUUACUGUAGUAAGGUUAUGUCCCUACUAAGCUGUUGAAUAAGCUCAUCUCUCUAUUGUUAUGCAGGUUGACGAACUAGACAUUCAAGAGAGUAGGCAAGAUGAGAUUAGAUUAGAUAUGAGAAUAGAAAGCUUAUUCAUCUAUUUAUUGUAGGUUGUAAAGAAUUCUUGAAUUGUUUAAGAAUCAUGAGUUAUUUUUAUAAGAGAAACUUAUUUUCCAACCCGUUUAAAUUUCCUUUUGAUUAUUUAGUUUUAAUUCACGUUUCGGAUUCGGAUUUGAGUUUUUAUUACCGACUUGGGUUCUGGGUGUGACAUUAUGGUUAUAAAAUGUUUUAUUUGACAACAUGAGUAUUUAUUUGCUGUAAAGUUAUAGUGCACAAAUUCAUGUUAGAACAACGUUUGUUUCAGUUGUCUUAUAAGGUUUAGGUUAUAACUAUCUCGUGCAAUUAUAAAGAUUUGUUAAAAGCAAGCAGUAAACGAAUAGUUGUUUACUCAAGGAGGACCAAAGUGAUUUUGCCACAAAUAUUCAAAUUAAGGAAUGCCAAUCAUCUUGUUAUUACUAAGUCCAAUACAGUUUAUGUGGAUAAUUAAGAUUCUUGUUUGCGUGAUUGUAAAGGUUAAGAGCACAUAUGUUUGUUCUUAAACUCGACAAUGUCAAGCAAGUGGUCUUAUUUGACAUAGUUCAGGGAACUAUAUAGCACUAAUAAACUCAAAGAGACCAUUAAAGUAAGCCUGUUUGUUUUGAUCAUACAACUAUUUAACCGUGAGAGAAUGUUGGAGUCAAACAUUAAGGUCCAAGCCUAAUUGGUUUACAUGGUUGUAUCCAGAAUAAAGUAGAGUUGGGGUUUUAAUUAGUUAGCUAUUCCUUGUGCCACAAGGAAGAAUUAAACUCAGAUUACCUUUUAUUGGUUAAGGGGUUCUUGUGUGCAAGAAGGCAAUUCCAUGGGUUUUAGUAUUCUAGUUAUGGGCUCAUUACAGUUUCUAGAAUUUGUUAGUAGGUAGGAUUUUAGGGACGCGGAGCUUAUGUAAGUUUGAGGUCUCUUUGCACGCUACUCAUCAGUUUAUUGUAUAAGGAGCCGCAGUGCAUACAUAGACGUGCUUUAAGCUAUCGCUGAAGAAAGUUGAGGUUCCACUAUAAAAUCAAUUGGUAAUAUUAGGAGUAGCUCAAUCUCUUAUAAGCCCAUGCAAGGUCCAUCCUCCCAUCAAUGUGGGACUCAUUCUCAACAAGCCCCCUCAAGUGUGGUGAAUUUUCAAGCCUAACACAUGGACAAUACAACGGAGUGAUGUGGAGUGCGUGUGGCCAUUUGGCUUUAUACGUGGGACAACCUUCUUUGAUACCAUGAAGAAAGUUGAGGUUCCACCAUAAAACCAAUUGACAAUAUGAGAAGUAGUCCAACCUCUUAUAAAUUCAUGCAAGGUCCAUCCUCGUAUCAAUGUGGGACUUAUUCUCAACAAUCUUGUCAAGUUUGAUCAUUCAGAAGUUCACCAUGUCACCUUCUCUACGUAUGUAAAGCUUAUCUGUUUUGAUUGCAUAAAUUGAUAAAGUCCAUAAUAUAAAAUAUUUUAUGCACUUUUUAUUUUUUAUGAAGAAAUUGUGUUUACGUAUUCUUCUGCCGACAAUCCUACAUGUAUGAAAUUAAUGAAUCAAUAGUUAGGAUUCUCAUUUAGUUGGCAAGGGCUAAGAUGAGUGGCUUAAAUUAUAAUAUGUCAGGAAAAGAUAGUGAUUUGAGCCAAGGGAGACAAAGUUGUCCCCUAUGUAUAGGACAUGUGAAUACAAAGGUAAAAAUAAACUAAAACAAAAUUAAAAGAAAAAGGAACAUUUAUAUACAUAUUCUCGGGUAAGGAUGUUUGGUCUCCUUGUGAUCUUGGUAAUAGUAGAAUGAGAUAUAAAUUAAUCAGUAAUUAUUUUUAAGCAAAAAAAAAAAGGGUUGUAUUAAAAAAAGCUUUGAGAACACCCAAGACCUCUAUAAUGAAAUAGAAAAGCAUUUUUUGCUUGGGAUUUUAAGCAAGAAGGCCGUGCAUGGUUGAGUCCUCGAGUGUGAGCAGAUGGGUAAAUAGGAAAGGGAAAUGGUAGAGAAAUCAUGUUUUAAGACUACAUGAUUUAAGUAGAUGAUUUCUUUGAUGAAGUUGGGGUUUUACCAUAAAUCCAAUUGACAAUAUGAGGAAUAGCCCAGUUUACUUAUAAGCCCAUGCAAGGUCCCCCUCCAUCAAUGAAAUAUUUAUUUUCAACACGCCCUCUCACGCAUGACAAAUUUUCAAGCUAAACUUGUGGACAACAUAAAUAUGGUAACGUGGAGUGCGUGUGACAUUGGACUUUACACGGGAAACAAUAUACUCUGAUACUAUUAAGAAGUUGGGGCUCCACCAUAAAAAAUUGAACUUACUUAUAAACCCAUGUAAUGUCCUCUCAUUAAUGUAGAAUUCAUUCUCAACACUUCCCUAGCAUCGAUUAUCCAUAAAAAAAAGUGCUUCAGUUGAUAAGAAGGUGAGUUUACAAAACCAUCUGCUUUCAUUCAUUUAUUUAAAGAAACGGCAAAGAUCUUGCAUGGUGACAAUGCAUGGCAUACAAAGCAUAUAUAAAAAUGGAAUUGUCAAUUUUACCCUUCAAACAUCUCAUGUCAUGUCCUAAAUCCAAACCUUCCCAUGUUGAAGCUAGCGGAUACUUCAUGCACUAUCCAAAUAUGUGUGAGAGAGAGAGAGAGAGAGCAUGUGUGCAUGAGAUGUAAUGGAAAGAGGGGGUGGUCCAAAAGGAUCAAUGUAGUGGUCGGGUUUUGGUCUCCCCUACAAAGGGUAGGAUAUUGAUUUUGUGAUAAAUGCUCUUACUUGUAGUUCAAUUUGUGUUUAAUCUAGCAGUAUGGUAGUAAAUUUUAUGUAACCCUAAUUUGGCCACAAAAGUAAUCUAAUAAUUAAGAUAUGCAAAUCAACUUUACCAUCCAUUCAUAUAUCAUAUAAUGUAAAUUGAUUACAUUAAUUAGAACUAAGGUUACAAUCAUUAAUCUCUAAACCCUAAAGCUUAACCACACUCGACUUUGUGUAUUUGACUUUUUUCUUUAGUUUAGCACAAGUAAAUAGCUAGCAAGUCACGACUGAAUUUCAAGGUUGCAGCGCGCAGAGAGAGAGAGAGAGAGAGAGAGAGAGGUGGUCAAAGUGUUAUUGAAAGGUCGUUUCAAUCACAGUUUAUUCAUCAGAAACAAGGGUCUGCAUCACUGUUGGAGGUAUCAGUUUGCAUACUACUAAGCACAACCAGUACGCCUUGGACUCCACCUUCUUGCGUUUUCAGCCUGUGGCUGACCUAGCAUUUAACCAUCCUCUCUCUCUCUCAACAAAUUAAGCUGACCUAGCAUUUAACCAUCCUCUCUCUCUCUCAACAAAUUAAGCUGACCUAGCAUUUACCCAUCCUCUCUCUCUCUCAACAAAUUAAGCUGCCAACAAGAUCCAUCUAUUCCAAUAUCAUUUUCCUUUUUCCCUUCUCCCUUUUCUGUUUUGUUAUAUCAAAUAUCUAUAUAUGUAUCAGUGUUUUAAAAAACUCAUCUCAAGGCACGCCUAGGCGGCUUUGGAGGCAAGGCUGCACCAUUUUCACCUUUGGUUUAAGGGAGUCGGCGAAAUACACGCCUAGGAGUGCCUGAGGCAUCAAUUUGGCGUUCCUUUUUUUUUAAGUUUCAAAAAUCUGGAAAUUUUUUAGAGUUGCAGAACUGUUUGAAGUUGCAGGCCAUGAACACCAAAAGGAGAUGAAGAAGAUGAAAAAGACGGCUAGGUUUUUUAGGCUGAGUUGGUGUUUUUAAUUUUUUUUUCUUUUUUUAAUGCUUAAACCGACCCCACUUUGCCACAUUUAUUACCCAAUUAUCUUCACUUUUUUUUAAACUAAUCACACUUUAAAGACAUUUAUUACCCACUAUCUCUUUUCUCUUCACUUUUUAGUGGGGUGUGCUAUCCACACAUCACUUUUUACUUUUCACACACUCCUUUUUAAUUUAUGUUCUUUGAUUUUCUUCAAUUCAUCCGAUCUGACGGCUGAAAAUUAGAAGGGUGUGUGAGAAGUAAAAAAGGGUGUGUGGAUAUCACAC